UCAGCACUAACAAAUCUGCAUGCAUUUU
RNAcentral lists this non-coding RNA (28 nucleotides) under Mus musculus (house mouse). The record is from RNAcentral. Lineage: Eukaryota; Metazoa; Chordata; Mammalia; Rodentia; Muridae.